AACGAACGCUGGCGGCAUGCCUAACACAUGCAAGUCGAACGAGAUCUUCGGGUCUAGUGGCGCACGGGUGCGUAACGCGUGGGAAUCUGCCCUUUGGUUCGGAAUAACAGUUGGAAACGACGGCUAAUACCGGAUGAUGACGAAAGUCCAAAGAUUUAUCGCCAGAGGAUGAGCCCGCGUAGGAUUAGCUAGUUGGUGUGGUAAAGGCGCACCAAGGCGACGAUCCUUAGCUGGUCUGAGAGGAUGAUCAGCCACACUGGGACUGAGACACGGACCAGACUCCUACGGGAGGCAGCAGUGGGGAAUAUUGGACAAUGGGCGAAAGCCUGAUCCAGCAAUGCCGCGUGAGUGAUGAAGGCCUUAGGGUUGUAAAGCUCUUUUACCCGGGAUGAUAAUGACAGUACCGGGAGAAUAAGCUCCGGCUAACUCCGUGCCAACCGCCGCAGUAA
Molecule: ribosomal RNA, 449 nt
Filed under: uncultured bacterium
Lineage: Bacteria
Description: partial 16S ribosomal RNA
Rfam family: Bacterial small subunit ribosomal RNA
Source: RNAcentral